Cyprinus carpio (common carp) is the source of this 201-nucleotide long non-coding RNA. RefSeq lists it as uncharacterized. NCBI's taxonomy places the organism in Eukaryota, Metazoa, Chordata, Actinopteri, Cypriniformes, Cyprinidae. The transcript is spliced from 2 exons. The record is from RefSeq and is a predicted model, not a curated record.
UAAUUCUGGAUACAGUCGGAGAGAGCGCAGGUCUCUGGACUUCCAUGACAGUGCUUCCAUAUCCAUGGGUCCUCUGAUGUUGUCUGAAGGGAACACAGAUAAGUGGCUCCCAUAUCAAGUGAAGGUAUCCAAGGCUUCUUGUCUGUGUGCUUCUCUGAUGCUGUUACUUGUUCCUCUGAUGAGUGUCCUGACCCUCUUUUA